Molecule: long non-coding RNA, 523 nt
Organism: Oncorhynchus gorbuscha (pink salmon)
Lineage: Eukaryota; Metazoa; Chordata; Actinopteri; Salmoniformes; Salmonidae
Exons: 3
Source: RefSeq, a predicted model, not a curated record
GUUCAAGGUGCUUUCCUCGAAUGAACGAAAGAACGAAAAACGUCAUCGCCGUAGACCACCGUGGAGUGGAGCCUUGACAGGGAGCUCUGGGGCAGAGGAAGGAAGGGAGGAAGGAAGGGAGGAAGAACGCUCCAUCACAGACCGGUCUUCUCUGGCUGCCUCACCCUGUUGAGACCCUUGUCACCAUCUGAUCCUUCUAAGCUCCGCAGACUGGUCUUCGCUGGCUGUCUGACCCUGCUGGGACCCAUGUCACAAUCUGAUCCUUCUAAGACAUGAUGAGCAUAGUGUUGUGUACUGAUUGUGCACUAGAGGGCUGCAUUCCCGCGGGAUUCCUGUGGGACCUGAAGGUUCCGACAGAGAUCAUUGCAGAGAUCAUUGCAGCGGGUUCUGGAGGAAGACAGACGACUUUGGGAUGAAAAUGUUGUAUUUUUGUUGUCCCACAGAUGAUUUGGAAACGGUCCUCUUUCUGCUUUGUAUGCGUUAGCCUACCUACUGUAUUAAAAGCACAUAUUGUUUCGCAUUA